Molecule: long non-coding RNA, 3004 nt
Organism: Gallus gallus (chicken)
Lineage: Eukaryota; Metazoa; Chordata; Aves; Galliformes; Phasianidae
Source: Ensembl
GCCCCAGUGGGAAGUCAGCUUGAAAAGGUUACAGAGGCUGCAGUGGGGACCCAAAGUCUGGGGGCCAAAUGGAGAGAUUUAUAUUUUGUGUUGACUGUGACUCCUGUAGCUGCAAGUGUUGGUGAUACAGGCACUUGGAGUUGGGAUGAUGUGCUGUGUAGCUCUCUGAGUACUGCUCUCAGGAUUGUGGCCUCAUUCAGCACACACAAUGGAUACAGUUCCAUUAGUGACCAUCCAUGCAAUAUUUAGUCUAUUUCUGGGUCUGGUUUUCAGCAGAUCUGCAAUAUGGUUUCUGUCAGCCAGAAGGUUCAAGCUGAGAUCACAUGCACCCUGCUUCUCCCUCGGGGUGCUUCUGGCCACCUUCUUUCCUGGGACAAUGUGGUUCUUCCCCUCAUAAUAAGGUGACCCUGGAAAAGGACCAGAGGGAAUAGGUGGCUGUAGUCAUGCCCAGGUGGCCCUCUGAGUGGUAAGUCAGGAGUGGGACACCUCAAUUGCUCACACAACAGAAAACAGUUCCAGCUGGCUACUUUCCCAAGGCAACUCCACAGCAUCCACACCUUCAGCUGAGCACAUGCUACAUAACAGACACUCAGAAUAUUCCUAUGAGCAAGGCUGACCCUGCUAAGGGUGAAUAUGUUGGCUGUAUGGCCCUGCAAUGCCAGAGAGUUUCUGGGCAGCAGAACCUGUUUGAGCUACUGCAAGAGGAAGACUGCACCUUUCUGAAGAAGAAAGGUGAGGUAAGAUGCUCUCACCUGUGUAUGUGUGUGCCCACCUUAUAGCAAACAGCUGUGCUGAGCUGGCAGAGAAGGGGUGAACUGUGGUGCAGGAUCAAGCAGCCAGAGCACUGAAUUCACAGCCAAAGAAAACCCCCCUACAUGCCUAUGUUUAGAAAUGCACCGUGGCAACAAGCUUCUCUGCUUGCAGAACCCAACUGCAGUGGUUCCCAAGUAGCACAUCUGCUGCCAUCAGCCCAGAGCAAGGCGAGGGCAGGAGCCUGACUUCCAUCUCUCCUUCCCAUCAGGAGCUGCUUGGGGAAGGGUACGAGAGUGCGGCAAGCGUGGAGUGAUGUUUUCCCAGAGCAGCCUUUUAGCCUCAAGCCAUCUGAAGUUCACAGGUUUCCUGAACCGAAGACGUAAUCUCAGCAGCAAGGAAAUCAUUUCAAGCGUUUCCAGGACUUUGAAAGAAGCAGGAGUUCACUGAGAGGGGAAAACUGCCUGCAGGGCGAGCUUUGUGCGUUUCAUCCACCCGCGGAAUACGUUUCCAGGAGGAAAAACUGCAGCAGGUGCCUGGGAGAAGGGGGGUGAGGCAGACAGCCGCUCUGAGCAUCCCGACAUCCCGGAACCCGGGCGCCGCAGCGCUCCCGCAUGCCGACAUCCCGGGAGCCGCCGCCAGAGGGCGCUCGUAGCCCACCGCGGCACGGCCGGCGCUGCGCAGCCCGGCAGUGGGGGUGCGCGCACAGCCGCCCCGAUGCGUCACCUCCCCUUACGCGUCGUGGGUAUUUAAAGGGCUGACAGCUCUCGGAAGGGUGAGCUGGCCGCGUUCGUGGCCUCAAUCCUCGGCUGCUGUGAGCUGGCACCGCAAAGGGGCACAGAGUGCAGCCUGGGGUGUUAUCAGCGCUGCGGGGCUGAGCGCUGCGUGUGGCUGGGGGCUCCUUUUCGGGAGUUCCCGGCUAGCCCAGCACCCAAAGGCCGGAACCUCUGGGUUCCUGUGAGGUAAAAGCAGGCUGAGAGAGGCAGGUUCUCCUUCAGAUAUCCGGGACUGGGGCCUGCACUGAGCUGCCGUGCCCAGGGGUGUGCUGUGUCCCCAUCUGCACGGCCAGCACUGACACCGCCGGGGCUGCACCCACCUCACGCACUGCUCCCAUCAGGCUGAUCUUUCAUUUCAUUGUUCACAUCAUGCCCCAAACCUCGGAAACAAUUGGGAAGAGGAAUCUGGUUCACAUUGGUCUGUCUUCCCCUUCAUUGCUUCUGCUGGGUGCCACCCUGGCUCAGGUGGCCUCAGAGGUAAAUGCCACAGUGCACCCAACAGCCAGCAGUGCACCUCCCAGGACUGCCUGCAAUGCAUUUGCCAGCAUCAAAGACUUCUAAGAAGUACGUUAAAAUAUAACAUUUUCUUACUUUUUUUUUUUUGUUCGCUAAUGACACUGAUUGGUUAUCCCAGUGGUGCAGAUCCCACCGGGGCAGGAGGUGUUCUGAUUAUUCCCUUUGUUUACAGUAUUAGACUUCGACAGUUGUUGAUCUCGUUGUUCUUAUUUGCAGCAUGUUUGCCUCACCAGGACAGUAAUUGUAUCAGGCAAGUUGGAGACCAAUCUGCAGAGCUGAACGCUCCGAACUGCAAGAGAAAGGCUCCAAUUUCUCAAGCAGCGGGCGCAUUACUCCUCCACUUGAGUUAUUAAAUUCUAAUUAUAGCCUGUUGAUCCAGUUACGCUGUUGUUUGUAAAUCUAAAUACAGUUCCCCAAAGCCUGUUUCUUAACCUGUUGAUGCUUGGUUAAAAAAGCAAGCAAACAAACAAACAACGCACCCGUUUGCUUAAUGGAGCAGGUGGAGGGGAGCUGCUCGUGGUGAGGCUCUCCUCUCCUCUGCUCCUUUGGAUACGUUUGUGAAUGAGUACAUAUCAGUGUGGGUGAUACGAACAACGGGGCAGGUCACUGUGUGCUCACAGAGCUGGGGCUUUCCCUUGAGUAAGGCUGGUGGGGGCUGAUGGGCUUUGUGGAAGGGGAAAAGCAUUGGUUUUGUUUUCUCUGCUGUGCAGGCAGGUACCUGAACUUCUGGGAAUGGCACUUAGCGGUUCCCCUUUGCGCUGCUGAAUCCCAUAGUGUCUGUUCUUCUCUUGUGAUGUUUAUGGGUUUGGGGCUCCUACGAAUGAGUUCUGGCUCAUCACAUGAUGGCAUAAGGGGCUCCAGAGGGCACAGUGUGCAUCCUGUAUGGUUGCUCUGCUCCAGAUGAGCCCAGUUCCUUUAAAUUGAGUGUCAAUCAGGCACUCAUCUGUUGGCAUAGUGAGUCC